GCCAGGCGUGGUGGCAGGCGCCUGUCAUCCCAGCUACUCGGGAGGCUGAGGCAGGGGGAUCACUUGAGCCCAGGAGGUCAAGGCUGCAGUGACCCACGAUCAUGCCACUGCACUCCAGCCUGGGUGACAGAGUGAGACCCUGUCUCAA
This 148-nucleotide signal recognition particle RNA is filed under the name Homo sapiens (human). Its description in RNAcentral is "Metazoan signal recognition particle RNA". It matches the Rfam family "Metazoan signal recognition particle RNA". From Rfam's summary of the family: The signal recognition particle (SRP) is a universally conserved ribonucleoprotein. It is involved in the co-translational targeting of proteins to membranes. The record is from Rfam by way of RNAcentral. Lineage: Eukaryota; Metazoa; Chordata; Mammalia; Primates; Hominidae.